UCCCCUUCUCCUCUCACAGAAAUCGCCGCCGCCGCGGCGUUCCACCGCCACCGCCACCGGCUCUCUUCUCCUUCAGCACACAUCAGCGGCGUCGUUUCCCCCUCCUCUUGCAUCGGAGCGGCUGCUGGGGAUGACGGCAAAUCUGGGGUGCCACCACCGAGGAUGAAGACGAACCCGUCCGGUGAGCACCUGGGAUAGCAACGAGCGGAGGAAGCAGUCGCGCUCCACGCAACCGCACCAUUGAUGCCACCGCGCUUUCAUUAUCGCUGAAGAAAUCGCUGCUGCUCAUCCAUCUUAAUCUAAUCUUCAACUGGGAUUUGGGGAGAGGAGAUGUUUCCAGUUUUUGGCCGUGCUUUAGCUCUAAUUCUUCCAGACCUUCGCAGUGCAGUUAGUUCAGCUUCUUCAUUGCUAAUUGAAUGUAUUGUCAUCGGCAGCUAUCGUCCUAAACUUCCAAGGCUUUCCGAAAAACCAACCAAGUGGAAUGCUAUUGAGAUGCCUUCUGAAAAAAGGUACACUAAUGGAACCUGCAAAACAGAGAUUCACAGGUAUAACGUGCGAUGAUCAUAUCAUUCUUUGCUCUGUAAUAUUGUCAUUGACUCCAAAUAUUUCCUCUUCUCCUCCAUACUUUAUGCAUGAAGUGACUAUCCUGUUACUUGCAGUCAUGCAACAGAACCAUGGUCACAGAAAUGCAGAGCAAUAACAGUCUGGAUUUGGAGCAAUGAUAUUUUAUACCCAAUUGGUUUAUUUCUUGGCUGCAGAGCUGUUCAUUGUAACUUAGAGCAGUGGUUGCAGGGUGGGGCUUAGGUGAUCCGUCCUUCAUUGUUGUGGCAAUGGUUGAUAUUUCAAUUAAUCAAACGAUUGCAAUUUGUUAAUGCUUCUCUUCUUUGAUCAGUCUUUGAAGUUUUUUCUCAAAUGCCAGGUUUGGAGCAUUGGAUUCACUGACUAGCGACUACAAUGCUUGCUUCUGCACAAUGGAGACAUAUCCAAAACUUAACCCAACAAGCCAUGUAUAUUCUGUUCUUUUUUGCCCUUCCACUGUCUUCGAUAAUACACGUCUUGCUAGCUAGGUUCUGCAUUUUUUAACCAUCUUUGUUUGGUAAAAUAAUGGUCGGUUUAUCACACUAUCAGUAUUGUGCGAUCAUAUCAUAGUUAUAAUUGAAUUAAAUGGUGUCGUCUUUCGGCAUGCUAUAUAUUAUCUUCAAAAUAUU
Oryza brachyantha (malo sina) is the source of this 1208-nucleotide long non-coding RNA. RefSeq lists it as uncharacterized. NCBI's taxonomy places the organism in Eukaryota, Viridiplantae, Streptophyta, Magnoliopsida, Poales, Poaceae. The record is from RefSeq and is a predicted model, not a curated record. The transcript is spliced from 5 exons.